RNAcentral lists this ribosomal RNA (321 nucleotides) under Mactra antiquata. Its description in RNAcentral is "partial 16S ribosomal RNA". It matches the Rfam family "Archaeal large subunit ribosomal RNA", at positions 2030 to 2595 of the family's 2987-position model. The record is from RNAcentral. Lineage: Eukaryota; Metazoa; Mollusca; Bivalvia; Venerida; Mactridae.
AAGGUAGCGCAGUCAAUUGUCCUUUAAUUGGGGAAAGGAAUGAAAGGGUUGACGAGGGGUGAGCUGUCUUUAUAGUAUAGUUUGAAGUUUUCUUUUACGUGAAAAGACUUAAAUUUAAAAAUAAGAAGAGAAGACCCCGGCGAGCUUGGUAAGGGUUAUUAAACUAAAAUAAUUAUUGAGGUUUGUUGGGGCAACGCAAAGGGAAAAUAACUCCUUUGAACGUGAUAAAGAUCCACUUAGAGUGAAUAAAGCAAAAGCUACCGCGGGGAUAACAGCGCAAUUUUUUCAGAGAGUUCAUAUCGAAGAGAAUGUUUGCGACCU